UGGUUUUGUUUGAAGUCAAACUUUCUUAAGUUUGACCAAAUUUAUAUAAAAGAUUAUCAAUUUUUAUGAUACCAAAUAAACAUACUAUAAAAAUAUAUUUUAUUAUGAAUCUAAUGAUACUUAUUUGGUUUCAUAAAAAAUAAUAAUUUUUUGUAUAACUUUGGUCAAACUUAAGAAAGUUUGACUUCAGACAAAACCAA
MicroRNA precursor from Dichanthelium oligosanthes, 200 nucleotides. It matches the Rfam family "MIR1435 microRNA precursor family". Lineage: Eukaryota; Viridiplantae; Streptophyta; Magnoliopsida; Poales; Poaceae. The record is from Rfam.